RNAcentral lists this ribosomal RNA (33 nucleotides) under Pseudevernia furfuracea. RNAcentral describes it as "partial 18S ribosomal RNA". Lineage: Eukaryota; Fungi; Ascomycota; Lecanoromycetes; Lecanorales; Parmeliaceae. The record is from RNAcentral.
CAAUAGGUUCGUAGUGACCUGCGGAGGAUCAUU